CGCAGCAAUGCGUGGCAUACGGCUCAGUAACACGUAGUCAACAUGCCCAGGGGACGUGGAUAACCUCGGGAAACUGAGGAUAAACCGCGAUAGGCCAAGGUUUCUGGAAUGGACACUGGCUGAAACCUAUAUGGCCCCUGGAUUGGACUGCGGCCGAUCAGGCUGUUGGUGAGGUAAUGGCCCACCAAACCUGUAACCGGUACGGGCUUUGAGAGAAGGAGCCCGGAGAUGGGCACUGAGACAAGGGCCCAGGCCCUAUGGGGCGCAGCAGGCGCGAAAAUUCUGCAAUAGGCGAAAGCUUGACAGAGUUACUCUGAGUGAUGCCCGCUAAGGGCAUCUUUUGGCACCUCUAAAAAUGGUGCAGAAUAAGGGGUGGGCAAGUCUGGUGUCAGUCGCCGCGGUAAUACCAGCACCCCGAGUGGUCGGGACGAUUAUUGGGCCUAAAGCAUCCGUAGCUUGUUCUGCAAGUCUUCCGUUAAAUCCACCUGCUCAACAGAUGGGCUGCGGGAGAUACUACAGGGCUAGGAGGCGGGAGAGGCAAGCGGUACUCAGUGGGUAGGGGUAAAAUCCUCUGAUCCACUGAAGACCACCAGUGGCGAAGGCGGCUUGCCAGAACGCGCUCGACGGUGAGGGAUGAAAGCUGGGGAAGCAAACCGGAUUAGAUACCCGGGUAGUCCC
RNAcentral lists this ribosomal RNA (678 nucleotides) under uncultured Nitrososphaerota archaeon. Its description in RNAcentral is "bacterial SSU rRNA". It matches the Rfam family "Archaeal small subunit ribosomal RNA", at positions 63 to 748 of the family's 1478-position model. Lineage: Archaea; Thermoproteati; Nitrososphaerota. The record is from RNAcentral.